RNAcentral lists this small RNA (349 nucleotides) under Histoplasma capsulatum var. duboisii H88. Its description in RNAcentral is "Histoplasma capsulatum H88 hypothetical RNA". Lineage: Eukaryota; Fungi; Ascomycota; Eurotiomycetes; Onygenales; Ajellomycetaceae. The record is from RNAcentral.
UUAUUCAUACUCCUCAUGUCCGCUCCCAAAAUAUUGUGUUUCCAAAACAAAUAAAUUAUAUAAUCACCAAUGAAUGAAUCUUGGGUAUAUAUUUUCUCACGGAUCCAGGCAUCACCAGCGCCUCUUUGCCGGGCGAUGGAGAUCACGCUCUCUUAAGAUGUCUUGGCAUGUUGGUGCAUUGGUCCUUCAUUGGUCUAUAACUUUGACUGAAGAUAUAAUUAUCAUUGAAAGCGUCCUCUAAUCAACUCUAUACAGCCUACUUCAGAACACGGAGAAAGUCUGUGAGCUGCAUCUAACUUCAUACAAUGGUGUAGUUGAUAGCCUUGUCGAAACCCAUCAAAAUGCAGUC